GUCCCCAUCGUCUAGCCUGGCCCAGGACACCGGGUUUUCAUCCCGGCAGCAGGGGUUCAAAUCCCCUUGGGGAUACCA
This 78-nucleotide transfer RNA is filed under the name Elusimicrobiota bacterium. Its description in RNAcentral is "Elusimicrobia bacterium (anaerobic digester metagenome) tRNA-Glu". It matches the Rfam family "tRNA". Rfam says of the family: Transfer RNA (tRNA) molecules are approximately 80 nucleotides in length. Their secondary structure includes four short double-helical elements and three loops (D, anti-codon, and T loops). The record is from RNAcentral. Lineage: Bacteria; Pseudomonadati; Elusimicrobiota.